Molecule: ribosomal RNA, 253 nt
Filed under: uncultured bacterium
Lineage: Bacteria
Description: partial 16S ribosomal RNA
Rfam family: Bacterial small subunit ribosomal RNA
Source: RNAcentral
UACGUAGGGGGCGAGCGUUGUCCGGAUUUAUUGGGCGUAAAGAGCUCGUAGGCGGUUUGGUAAGUCGGGUGUGAAAUCUCGGAGCUUAACUCCGAAACUGCAUUCGAUACUGCCGUGCUUGAGGACUGGAGAGGAGACUGGAAUUUACGGUGUAGCGGUGAAAUGCGUAGAUAUCGUAAGGAAGACCAGUGGCGAAGGCGGGUCUCUGGACAGUUCCUGACGCUGAGGCACGAAGGUCAGGGGAGCAAACGGG